RNAcentral lists this long non-coding RNA (94 nucleotides) under Bos indicus x Bos taurus (hybrid cattle). RNAcentral describes it as "lncRNA (ENSBIXG00005031305.1)". Lineage: Eukaryota; Metazoa; Chordata; Mammalia; Artiodactyla; Bovidae. The record is from RNAcentral.
CUAAGUCGAACGAUGGGCUGGUGAGGCACAUUGAAAAAGAGAGUCAAUAAAGCAAGACUUCUUGGCAGCUGGGGACUCUGGGACUUCUUCCUGC